GAGUUCUGCAUACAGCAUCAAACAAGAUCCCAUCUAGAAUUCGUAUUUCAGCUAAUCAUUGCUGGAUAAUUCAGAAAGCUCUGCUUCUUCCUGGUCAAAACCAAAGUUAUCUUCUGGCAGUGAGAUCUGAGCAUAGUGCUUCACUGCUCUUGCUUCUUCGUAAGUAAGGGUUUCACUGGGUAAUCCAGCACUGUGUAGUUCAGUGAUAUUUGGCUUCCAGCCUGUGUAUUUUAUAAGGCUCUAAAUCUGCCUGUCAAGAGAAAGAACAGAAAGGUAACAACUGCUAGUUAAAUCAAAUCACUUCUCCUAAAUUGGACAAAUUUGGUUAGCCUCUGAUGCUCCCUGGCCCAAGUCCAUGUCAGCAAGAAUGACUGUGCUCAAUCAAGGCUAAGC
Molecule: long non-coding RNA, 393 nt
Filed under: Numida meleagris (helmeted guineafowl)
Lineage: Eukaryota; Metazoa; Chordata; Aves; Galliformes; Numididae
Description: lncRNA (ENSNMEG00000019127.1)
Source: RNAcentral